Small nucleolar RNA from Nematolebias whitei (Rio pearlfish), 131 nucleotides. RefSeq annotates it as small nucleolar RNA SNORA68. The transcript has a single exon. The record is from RefSeq and is a predicted model, not a curated record. Lineage: Eukaryota; Metazoa; Chordata; Actinopteri; Cyprinodontiformes; Rivulidae.
GUUGCGCCCAAACCCAAAGGGCACGCCAGAUCAGUGGUGUGACUUUUCUCUGGGUCGCAAACAGAACCAGAACCUUGUCGCCUUUCCUGCGGCUGCCGUGCCUCUGAAAGUGAAUUCAAGGUCCGACACUA